This 252-nucleotide ribosomal RNA is filed under the name uncultured bacterium. RNAcentral describes it as "partial 16S ribosomal RNA". It matches the Rfam family "Bacterial small subunit ribosomal RNA", at positions 524 to 776 of the family's 1533-position model. The record is from RNAcentral.
UACAGAGGUCCCAAGCGUUGUUCGGAUUCAUUGGCGUAAAGGGUGCGUAGGCGGCGCGGUAAGUCGGGGGGGAAAUCUCGGGGCUUAACUCCGAAACUGCAUUCGAUACUGCCGUGCUUGAGGACUGGAGAGGAGACUGGAAUUUACGGUGUAGCGGUGAAAUGCGUAGAUAUCGUAAGGAAGACCAGUGGCGAAGGCGGGUCUCUGGACAGUUCCUGACGCUGAGGCACGAAGGCCAGGGGAGCAAACGGG